UAAGGAAUAUUGGACAAUGGAGGCAACUCUGAUCCAGCCAUGCCGCGUGAAGGAAUAAAGCCCUAUGGGUUGUAAACUUCUUUUAGACGGGACAAAACCCCUUUACGUGUAAAGGGUUGAUGGUACUGUCAGAAUAAGCAUCGGCUGACUUCGUGCCAGCAGCCGCGGUAAUACGAAGGAUGCAAGCGUUAUCCGGCAUUAUUGGGUUUAAAGGGUGCGUAGGCGGACUAAUAAGUCAGUGGUGAAAGCCUGCAGCUUAACUGCAGAAUUGCCAUUGAUACUGUUAGUCUUGAGUACAGUUGAGGUAGGCGGAAUGUGUCAUGUAGCGGUGAAAUGCUUAGAUAUGACACAGAACACCGAUUGCGAAGGCAGCUUGCUAAGCUGUAACUGACGCUGAGGCACGAAAGCGUGGGGAGCAAACA
This 422-nucleotide ribosomal RNA is filed under the name uncultured bacterium. RNAcentral's name for it is "bacterial SSU rRNA". It matches the Rfam family "Bacterial small subunit ribosomal RNA", at positions 355 to 774 of the family's 1533-position model. The record is from RNAcentral.